AUCAGUGGCUCUUCAGGUUGCCAUGUAGAAAGCAGCUUUGCUGGCUGCCACUUUCGAUCAAGGGCUAAACUCUGAGGGUGACAUGCCACUAAGGAGCUGAACGGAGCCUGAGUCCUUGUAGCAGAGGCUGGUCUCCAGUCCUGUCUGUUCUUCUUCUUGGGCACACAGCUAGGCUACAUUCCCUAGCCUUCCUUGGAGCUUAGAAUAAUUCCUAGCCAAUAGCAUUUGAGUAUAAUUGAGUGGGCCACCUCCAGAUGUGGCCCAUUACAAGUCACAUUCUCUGCCUCCAACCCAGGUUACUUCAGGUAAUAAUCCUUCUGCCUAGAAAGGUUGGGCACCCUGAUAUGCACAAAUCUGCAUUAACUUCACAGAUGACUCAAUUAGCAGGUGAUGACUUACUGGCAGUGUUCAUUACGGUGGCCUUUCUAGUUGUCAUCUUCCCAGAUGACAUUUUUAGAAUUUCAUCUCUACACUUUCCAAAAACACUACUUGACACCUGUGGGUUUUAAAAUGAAAUAACCUCAGAUAUGAAAUAACCUUUCCCCAAUCCAUUCAUUGUAGUUGGAAGCUGGUCUUACUAAUGGCAGGGUGACCGUAACACUUGGUUAUGAACCAGGGUAUUGCCUCCAACCAAGCCUUAACAAUCUCAUCCUCCCUUUAGCCUUCCAUGAUUAGACCUCAACUCAUGAGAACUCUUGCCUUGCUCACAAGUGGGAGUAAAUGCUCAUAGCUCUAGAAAUCUCCCAGGAACCAGACAUCACGGAAACUAGAAAGGCUAAGGGAGUCCAAUCUUCCUCUAAAUUGGCCAACAGUAGAGUGGUGGAAAGAGAACAAGCUGCAAACCAGACAGACCCAAGCUUGAAUCUCACCUCUGCCAAGCUACCAGAAUGAUGGGAUGCCAGCCGCUGGCUGCCCCCAAGAAACUUGGGAGCAGGACAGGCUUGGCUGUCCCAGAGGAAGAGCCUGGCAUUGGGCCAGGAGGCUCAGGAGGGAAGAUGAGCUCAUUCUGCCCAGCUCGGUUCUCCCGUAUGCAGACCAGGUCAUCACAGGGACCUGCCUCCACAUUUGCAUCCCCCACGGCAUAUUUUCCCAGCACAUGCAGCAUUGGGAACUUGAACGUCCCUCUGCUUUUCCUUGGUGAGACCCACCAGCCCCGCCUUAGGAAGGAGGCUGAACAUUUGACGGAGCUUUCCUGUCACCUGUGAGCGACGUGCACGCUGCUUCCGAAGAAAGAGACAUCCCCCUACUGUUUUCUCACAGUGGGAUGAUUCAACUUUUUCUUUCUCACAAUCCCAGAUAAUCAUAUCUUCCCAGGUUUUGUCAUCUUUGAGGACUACUCACUAUCUAGUUAUGAGUCAAACAAAACCCAAUUUAACUGAUAACUAACCAGCCAUCACGUAUCCCUGAAGAUAAACCUGGUUUAUCCUUUUUAUACCCUCUGGCAGAGCAAAGGAACAAGGAGUUUGGGAGAGAAAAAAAAACACAACACUAGAAACAGCACUGACACAGGUCGUUAAAUACAGAUGUGACCAGCCUUGAUUACAAGUGUUGUCAUCCUCUUUUAACAGGGACCUACCCCGAACUUUCAUGAACCCCUGGUAGCUGAAUAGCAGCUUGUCUAAGCGAGGUGCAGGGAUUUUGUCAAAGUCGGCCUCGGUGUUAAAGGCAGGGCCACCUACCAUGAACUUCUCUCUGUGACUUUAUUCUUUAGCAGUGCUCAAGUGUAAAUAAACUUGUUUACCAGGAUCAGAAUGGCCAUGUUAAUGAAGUCUUAUUUGUGUCACCACAAUGACAAGUAAUUUGUGCACAGCUGGACUCGGAGAGGGGACAAAACCAGAGAAAUUGUAUUUCUGUUCUGAAGUUUCCAUACAGAUGCCUUAGGCCAAAGUUAGUACAGCCAAUAUUUGCCUGUUUCUUUGGAUUGUGUGUCCAUGCUGGAGAAAAGCCUUGUUACUGUGCCCAGUGUGGUAAACGAAAUUAUAUGUACGCAGUGAGAAGAAAAAUGAAAUAAGAAGCACUGAUGAAUGUACCCACGGGUGUGACCUUGGGGGCCAGUGUGUGGUUUUUAUGAAAUGAACGCAUGAAUACGAGGACCCUAAUUAUUGCUUUCAACGGACAAAGUAUGGUGAAUAUAUAGAGAACGUUGCUGUACAACACUGGCUGUGUCUCAAAGCGGCUUUAGAAGUAAAUAUAGAAAUUCUUUGGUACAUGGUAUUGCAUAGAAAAGUCAUUAAGAAAAAAGCAAGACAAUUUGUUAAGACCUUGUUAAGUGGAGCUGGGGGAUGAUUAAUUUUGUUUGUUUGUUUUUGUUGUUCCCUGGUAGAGCUCAACAAACUACAGACCACGGGCCAAAUCUGACCCACCGCUGCUUUUGUAAAUAAAACUUUAUUGGAAAAAAGCCACAUUUGUGUAUGUGUUGUCUGUGGCUGCUUUUGUGCUACCGAGACAGAGGCAAGAAAGGAGAGAAAAAGAGGCAUGGAGCAGGUAUAUUACGGGUUGAAUUGAGUUCACCAAAAAGAUAUGUUGAAAUCCAAAGCCCCAGUGUCUGUGAAAGUUACCUUAUUUGGAAAUAAGGUCUUUGCCAAUGUAAAGAUAAAGUCAUGCUGAAUUAAGGUGAGCCCUAACCUAAUAUGGCUGGUGUCCUUAUAAGAAGAGAAGAGACAGACAAAGGGAAGGAGUCCAUGUGACCACAGGGCCAGUGGAAGUGAUGCAACUGCCUGCCAAGUGCACCAAGGAUGGGUGGCCACCAGCAGAAGCUCGGAAGAUGCAAGGAAGGAUUCUAUCCAGAGUUACAGAGGGAGCAUGGCCCAGCUGACACCUUGAUUUCAAACCUGUAGCCUCAAGAAAUGUGGAUAAUGACCUUCUGUCAUUUUAAGCCACCCCGUCUGCAACACUUUCUUAUGGCAAUGUGAUGGGUAAGCUUAUGUGUCAAUGUGACUGAGCCCCAGGAUGCUUAGAUACUUGAUGAAACA
This 2972-nucleotide long non-coding RNA is filed under the name Homo sapiens (human). RNAcentral describes it as "HSALNT0225720". The record is from RNAcentral. Lineage: Eukaryota; Metazoa; Chordata; Mammalia; Primates; Hominidae.